RNAcentral lists this small RNA (1368 nucleotides) under Pongo abelii (Sumatran orangutan). Its description in RNAcentral is "retained intron". The record is from RNAcentral. Lineage: Eukaryota; Metazoa; Chordata; Mammalia; Primates; Hominidae.
CUUCCUUUCCUUUCAGCGGAGCGCGGCGGCAAGAUGGCCGUGCAAAUAUCCAAGAAGAGGAAGUUUGUCGCUGAUGGCAUCUUCAAAGCUGAACUGAAUGAGUUUCUUACUCGGGAGCUGGCUGAAGAUGGCUACUCUGGAGUUGAGGUGCGAGUUACACCAACCAGGACAGAAAUCAUUAUCUUAGCCACCAGAACACAGAAUGUUCUUGGUGAGAAGGGCCGGCGGAUUCGGGAACUGACUGCUGUAGUUCAGAAGAGGUUUGGCUUUCCAGAGGGCAGUGUAGAGGUGAGUGAUUCUGGCAUAUGCCAGAGAUAAUGGCUCUUCAGAAUGAUACUUAUAAAAACUUUUCAACUUGGAGACUUUAAUUGUUUGUUCAGUACAACUGGACUGGUAUAACUUGAAAUUCUCUUAAUGAAUAAUGGGCUUAACUUUGUAAGCCUAUUCUGCUAAUGGCUGAUGGUUAAAGGAUUUUACAUUCAACUUGGGUAUAGAAAUGAUGCAUAUGAUGGACUGACCAUCCCCAUUGGUGGACUUGGUGUGGCCAAAGGAGCCAGGGUGGGAGGGCAAGGAACCUGCAUUGUGUGUAGGUGGUAGAAGUGCUUCAGGAAUUGAGGGAUACUGAAAUUAUAGGCUGUAUGUGAUGGUGGUGUCCAAUCUUUUGGCCUCCGUAGGCUACAUUGGAAGAAGAAAUGUCUUGGGCCACACUACUGGUAGCACAAAAAUCACGAUGUUGAAUUUGUGUUGGGCCACAAUCAAAGCCAUCUCCUGGGCAGCGUGCGGCCCGUGGGUUGGGCAGGCUUGGUGUAGAAAGUGAUACUUGUGUGGCAAAUGCCAAAUUUUCAACUUUCAGUUGAAAAUAAUGGUGAUGGUAACAGGAUAUCCCUUGCUUCCUUUAAAGCUUUAUGCGGAAAAGGUGGCCACUAGAGGUCUGUGUGCCAUUGCCCAGGCAGAGUCUCUGCGUUACAAACUCCUAGGAGGGCUUGCUGUGCGGAGGGCCUGCUAUGGUGUGCUGCGGUUCAUCAUGGAGAGUGGGGCCAAAGGCUGCGAGGUCGUGGUGUCUGGGAAACUCCGAGGACAGAGGGCUAAAUCCAUGAAGUUUGUGGAUGGCCUGAUGAUCCACAGCGGAGACCCUGUUAACUACUACGUUGACACUGCUGUGCGCCACGUGUUGCUCAGACAGGGUGUGCUGGGCAUCAAGGUGAAGAUCAUGCUGCCUUGGGACCCAACUGGUAAGAUUGGCCCUAAGAAGCCCCUGCCUGACCACGUGAGCAUCGUGGAACCGAAAGAUGAGAUACUGCCCACCACCCCCAUCUCAGAACAGAAGGGUGGGAAGCCAGAGCCGCCUGCCAUGCCCCAGCCAGUCCC